RNAcentral lists this ribosomal RNA (508 nucleotides) under uncultured bacterium. Its description in RNAcentral is "bacterial SSU rRNA". It matches the Rfam family "Bacterial small subunit ribosomal RNA", at positions 8 to 526 of the family's 1533-position model. The record is from RNAcentral.
AGAGUUUGAUCAUGGCUCAGGACGAACGCUGGCGGCGUGCUUAACACAUGCAAGUCGAACGAUGAUGCUCCAGCUUGCUGGGGUGGAUUAGUGGCGAACGGGUGAGUAACACGUGAGUAACCUGCCCUUCACUUUGGGAUAAGCCUUGGAAACGGGGUCUAAUACCGGGUAUACACAUACUGUCGCAUGGUGGUGUGUGGAAAGCUUUUGUGGUGAGGGAUGGACUCGCGGCCUAUCAGCUUGAUGGUGGGGUAGUGGCCUACCAUGGCUUUGACGGGUAGCCGGCCUGAGAGGGUGACCGGCCACACUGGGACUGAGACACGGCCCAGACUCCUACGGGAGGCAACAGUGGGGAAUAUUGCACAAUGGGCGAAAGCCUGAUGCAGCGACGCCGCGUGAGGGAUGACGGCCUUCGGGUUGUAAACCUCUUUCAGCAGGGAAGAAGCGAAAGUGACGGUACCUGCAGAAGAAGCACCGGCUAACUACGUGCCAGCAGCCGCGGUAAUUC